GAUGAACGCUGGCGGCGUGCCUAAUACAUGCAAGUCGAGCGAACAGGCGAGGAGCUUGCUCCUCUGACGUUAGCGGCGGACGGGUGAGUAACACGUGGAUAACCUACCUAUAAGACUGGGAUAACUUCGGGAAACCGGAGCUAAUACCGGAUAAUAUAUUGAACCGCAUGGUUCAAUAGUGAAAGACGGUUUUGCUGUCACUUAUAGAUGGAUCCGCGCCGCAUUAGCUAGUUGGUAAGGUAACGGCUUACCAAGGCAACGAUGCGUAGCCGACCUGAGAGGGUGAUCGCCAACCCUGAACCUAGACCCCGGCCAGGCCCCCACGGGAAGGAGGAGGUGGGAAUUCUUCCCAAUUGGGCGAAGCCUUACCGGGGAACCCCCGCGUAGGUGUGAAGGUUCUUCGAUUGGUAAACCUCUGUUAUAGGGAAAAACAAAAUGUGAAAGUACCUAUGCCCGUCUGACCGGUCCCUAAUCAAAAGCCACGGCUAACUACGUG
RNAcentral lists this ribosomal RNA (496 nucleotides) under uncultured bacterium. RNAcentral's name for it is "partial 16S ribosomal RNA". It matches the Rfam family "Bacterial small subunit ribosomal RNA", at positions 28 to 507 of the family's 1533-position model. The record is from RNAcentral.